Molecule: long non-coding RNA, 241 nt
Filed under: Amborella trichopoda
Lineage: Eukaryota; Viridiplantae; Streptophyta; Magnoliopsida; Amborellales; Amborellaceae
Description: long non-coding RNA (ATRI_LNC003670)
Source: RNAcentral
AAAUCAAUUUUUUUUCCCAUGUCCAUACAUCUUGAAGUUGAAAUGAUCACUUUGAGGACUUUUAGUAUCAAAACUUGUUCUUUUAGUAAAUUUUUUAUGUACGCCCUAAUUUGAUUGUUUAUAGCCUCGCAGUUAUGCAAAUGUUUUCCUUAAGGAAUAAUCUAAAUAGAAAGAAGAAAGUUAAAAUAAGUAUUCAUGACCAGAAUGCUUUCCAACUUUUUUCAAAAUGGCAUAAAACAAU